UCAUAUUUAAUUAUUAGCUAUAUAAAUUUAAAGAGUAAUUAUCGUCGCUUACACUUAAGAAUUAUUUCAAUGGCAAUGAACCCCAAAGAAAAAUACAAUUUAGAAAAACAAAAGCGGGCGCCAUGAUUGCAUAGUGUUCGUCAUACGAGUCGCGACGAUACAAUGUAUUUCCUCGACGCGCGACUGUCGCGCGCCAAGAACAGUAGUAAAUUACAUGUUGGGGGAGGCACGCUAGCCUCUCGUGUUUGGGGAAACGCUUCGAGUCUCUCUGCUUUCGAAUAUCGUCUUCGCCAACCAGACGAUCUUUUUCCCACAGUUAUGGAAACUUAAUGUCGACAAUUUCCUUCCAGCGUCAACCUAUUUUGCGUGGUCGUCGGUGCCACAAGUGGAUGGCCUCCUCUGGUGUAUUUUACUCGCUUAUUGUCGUUCGAUCGCGCAACAAGUUGCUCCCAGUUCUCGGGAGCGUGUAUACGUUCCAAAGAGGCCACAGUUUGCACGCCACGAUCGUACACGUUGAAUGAGAGGCAUUGAAAGAGUUCUCGCGACUGGCUGGAUACGGCAUCGCGAACGAUUAAUCAUUUCUGGAUCUUUGUCGUGACAUGGAUGAAACCAAGACAUUCGCUACCUAAUUUGAUGGACGUCGUACGAUGUCAUCUUUAUGGUGCCAUUAGAUUGGGUUUCGCCGUGACGUCACUACUUGACGUGCUAAUAAAAUAAUCGUGGUGCCCAGCCUAGAUUAGCAUAAAAUCAAGCUUUAUGCCUCACGAAUGCCACUGUAAUCCGACACGCCACCCUCUGAAACGUCGACCCAUUUGGCUGCGUCUGCAAUCGUGCUUCGUACGCGAUAACUAGAAGAAUCGACGUGGACACUACGUGGAGCAGGCGUCACCGCGGACACACCUUGGCUUCCUUUGAGGAGUAAAGAUAGACA
Molecule: long non-coding RNA, 931 nt
Organism: Hylaeus anthracinus
Lineage: Eukaryota; Metazoa; Arthropoda; Insecta; Hymenoptera; Colletidae
Exons: 4
Source: RefSeq, a predicted model, not a curated record